GACGAACGCUGGCGGCGUGCUUAACACAUGCAAGUCGAACGGUAAGGCCCUUCGGGGUACACGAGUGGCGAACGGGUGAGUAACACGUGGGUGAUCUGCCCUGCACUUCGGGAUAAGACUGGGAAACUGGGUCUAAUACCGGAUAGGACUCCGGACUGCAUGGUCUGGGGUGGAAAGCUUUUGCGGUGUGGGAUGGGCCCGCGGCCUAUCAGCUCGUUGGUGGGGUGACGGCCUACCAAGGCGACGACGGGUAGCCGGCCUGAGAGGGUGACCGGCCACACUGGGACUGAGAUACGGCCCAGACUCCUACGGGAGGCAGCAGUGGGGAAUAUUGCACAAUGGGCGCAAGCCUGAUGCAGCGACGCCGCGUGAGGGAUGACGGCCUUCGGGUUGUAAACCUCUUUCAGCAUCGACGAAGCGAAAGUGACGGUAGGUGCAGAAGAAGGACCGGCCAACUACGUGCCAGCCGCCGCCGUAA
This 478-nucleotide ribosomal RNA is filed under the name uncultured bacterium. RNAcentral describes it as "partial 16S ribosomal RNA". It matches the Rfam family "Bacterial small subunit ribosomal RNA", at positions 28 to 523 of the family's 1533-position model. The record is from RNAcentral.